UACGAAGGGGGCUAGCGUUGCUCGGAAUCACUGGGCGUAAAGCGCACGUAGGCGGAUUGCUAAGUCAGGGGUGAAAUCCUGGAGCUCAACUCCAGAACUGCCUUUGAUACUGGCGAUCUUGAGUCCGGGAGAGGUGAGUGGAACUGCGAGUGUAGAGGUGAAAUUCGUAGAUAUUGGGAAGAACACCAGUGGCGAAGGCGGCUCACUGGUCCGAUACUGACGCUGAGGUGCGAAAGCGUGGGGAGCAAACAGG
Molecule: ribosomal RNA, 253 nt
Filed under: uncultured bacterium
Lineage: Bacteria
Description: partial 16S ribosomal RNA
Rfam family: Bacterial small subunit ribosomal RNA
Source: RNAcentral